ACGUAAAUGUCAAUGGUUGCUACUGUUAUUGCAUUGUCAUCCCUAUCUCUCCAUCCCAGGGUGUCUCUAGACAGGGGAUGGGGAAUGGAGCUGAGACUGAGGAAUGUCUUGGAGGAGACUCUCUCCUUCAAUGCUGAGUUCGCCAACCCAGGCCUGCUGGUCAGAGCCAAAGGAUCAAGUAACUCCUUCCUCCCAAGUUGGAGCAGGACUCUAUCUCUCUCCCUCUCCUGGAUGGAGGAAGCAGUUUCUCAGGAACUCUCCUGGUGUUGGAGAGCCAAUCUGUGGAGGGGCUAAGUCUCUUCUCUUGUCAGCAGGAAGGUCACCAAAGUUCCAGGCCUGCUGCAAAAAGGGUCCAGCAGCAAAAGUGUUGAGUUGAAGCGAUUUGCCUGGCGGUUGAAGUGAGAUGCCCCAGAGCUCCCGGACUCUGUCACCACCCAGGCCUGUCAGUUUCCACUUUUCCCUCUGUCCAUCUCUUCUAAUGCCUUGGCUUUGGACCCAGAUGGAAGUCUACAGGCAGUGAAUUAUCCAGGAACAUAAGAAAUGGGGCACUUGCCAAAUGCCUCUGAGGCUGAUUAUGCACCUAGCUCCAACCCUAAUCUCUUGGGAAGUCGGGUGCCUUAGAUGAGCCCUGGAAGAUCCUAGAGGUGAUGAGAAAGACCUCCCUGAAGGACAACCAGCUCCCAGACCCUCACUUACACUAUAGCUUCUAUACAGAUAAGGAGUUCAGUUCCUGGGGCUCAGCUGGGUGACCUCAGUAAACAAUUGGGGAUUUAUUUAUGUGUGGCAGCCUCUAAGGUGACUAAAUUUUUCUUUUUCUGAACUAGGUUGUAUAGAAGGUAAUAGCAGUGACCAGACAGUCCAGAGAAUUCUGCCCAGUUGCAAGAUACAAUAAAAAUGUAAAUAAACAUUUUACCUUGUGAAGG
This 923-nucleotide long non-coding RNA is filed under the name Phascolarctos cinereus (koala). RNAcentral's name for it is "lncRNA (ENSPCIG00000025258.2)". The record is from RNAcentral. Lineage: Eukaryota; Metazoa; Chordata; Mammalia; Diprotodontia; Phascolarctidae.